This is a non-coding RNA of Hydra vulgaris (swiftwater hydra), 1293 nucleotides long. NCBI's taxonomy places the organism in Eukaryota, Metazoa, Cnidaria, Hydrozoa, Anthoathecata, Hydridae. The record is from RefSeq and is a predicted model, not a curated record.
UUUUAUGAUAUAAACCAUAAUCUAGAAAUACCAGAGAGGGCAAAGUGGCGCAUGUUUUAGUAAUAUGGAGAUGUGCCGCCUUGAAAAACUGGUUUGUUCUUGGUGGCUUUUCAUUGCCAACUAGAUCCUUAAUUUAUAUUUUUCUACCAGCAAUGCCACAUAAAAUCCCACAUAAAGAAGAUGUCCUCUUUCAUUCAUGGUCAAAUCACAGUAUCAGUUUAAGGUAAUAGACUAAGUUUUUCAAACAAAUGCAUUUUUUGAGAGAGCAGACAGACAGUGAGCUAGACAAGAUAAAAGUAAAGAAGCAAACCAAUUGUGGGGUAGUUCAAAGCUUCUAGUCUAAAUUAAUUUGCAAACAAUACAUGGAGUAAAUUAAUUAGAGUAAUUCACAGUAGGCCAUGAUGAUCAUGAUUACUGAUGAGCAAAAGAACAGCCGUGAAGCAUGUGGUUAAAGUUUUAACUCACAACCCAGAGGUCCGAGGUUUGAUGCCGGCUCUAGCCCAAUAAGCGAUAUUGGUAAGGAAGGAGGCGUGAACUUCUAGUUAAAUGCUCUUCUGUGGUGCUCUGUGAUAAGACCAUAAAGACUUUUUGGGAGCACCUAAAUAACCUAAAAAAAAAUAUUGAUAGAGGUAAAAGAGCAUUGUGGAUCUUUUGAAAAAUUUAAUGUCACAUGCAAGUUUUUUUUUUUUUUUUUUUUAUUUAAUUCACCUCCUCAAGGCCGAGAAGGCCACUACAGACAAGGAGGCUACUUAUUUGUGGCUAUAGCCCUCUCUCAACUCUAUAACUCUGAAACACGAACCUUGAUAAACAAGGCCGCUGCGCGGAGAAACGAGUUGAGCGCGGUACUACCAGGGACGUGGUGGGGAUCGAACUCGGAACCACUCGUUUAUGAAGCGAGCGCUCUACCACUACACCACUACCGCAUUUUUGUAUAGCAUUAUGUAAAAAUGGUUACAGCAGUUUCUGCUUUGGUUUUAGGCAAGAUGGAAAGAAAUAGUUUAAUAUGUUUCUAUCUGCAAUCUAGGAAGAUUAUGCCAAUAGUUAUUUAUAUUAUUACAAAUUAACAAUAUUAACACAAAGACACAUUAUAACACUCAAUAUGGAAAACAUGCAAGUUUUUCAGGAUCUGCUACAUAAUUUAUUGGAACACUAUUUAACAUUAAAGUAUGUAAGAAUCAGCUAAUUAAUAAUAAUGCCGAUGUUGUCAGCAUAUUUGUUGUAAAUCUAAAUGGAUUAUUAUGAUGGAAUAAUGAGGAAAUCUUACUAAAUGUUUCAACAAUUAUUAACUCAUUG